UUACUGAAAGGGUCACUGGAGCCAAUAUACAGGAUCCCAAAGUCCAGAAAGAGGAAACAUGAGGUUGUGUUUCCCAAAGAUGACAGCUGUUUCAUAUUGGAGUUGUCAGCAUGUCUGCUCUCUGAGAUCCUCGGGGAAGUGGUACUCCUGGAAGGAGAUCAAGCUUACAUGACACUGGGGCUGGUCUGCACCACCUU
Long non-coding RNA from Fundulus heteroclitus (mummichog), 197 nucleotides. RefSeq lists it as uncharacterized. The record is from RefSeq and is a predicted model, not a curated record. Lineage: Eukaryota; Metazoa; Chordata; Actinopteri; Cyprinodontiformes; Fundulidae. The transcript has 3 exons.